Molecule: ribosomal RNA, 1372 nt
Filed under: uncultured bacterium
Lineage: Bacteria
Description: bacterial SSU rRNA
Rfam family: Bacterial small subunit ribosomal RNA
Source: RNAcentral
GAUGAACGCUGGCGGCGUGCCUAAUACAUGCAAGUCGAGCGAACGGACGAGAAGCUUGCUUCUCUGAUGUUAGCGGCGGACGGGUGGGUAACACGUGGAUAACCUACCUAUAAGACUGGGAUAACUUCGGGAAACCGGAGCUAAUACCGGAUAAUAUUUUGAACCGCAUGGUUCAAAAGUGAAAGACGGUCUUGCUGUCACUUAUAGAUGGAUCCGCGCUGCAUUAGCUAGUUGGUAAGGUAACGGCUUACCAAGGCAACGAUGCAUAGCCGACCUGAGAGGGUGAUCGGCCACACUGGAACUGAGACACGGUCCAGACUCCUACGGGAGGCAGCAGUAGGGAAUCUUCCGCAAUGGGCGAAAACCUGACGGAGCAACGCCGCGUGAGUGAUGAAGGUCUUCGGAUCGUAAAACUCUGUUAUUAGGGAAGAACAUAUGUGUAAGUAACUGUGCACAUCUUGACGGUACCUAAUCAGAAAGCCACGGCUAACUACGUGCCAGCAGCCGCGGUAAUACGUAGGUGGCAAGCGUUAUCCGGAAUUAUUGGGCGUAAAGCGCGCGUAGGCGGUUUUUUAAGUCUGAUGUGAAAGCCCACGGCUCAACCGUGGAGGGUCAUUGGAAACUGGAAAACUUGAGUGCAGAAGAGGAAAGUGGAAUUCCACGUGUAGCGGUGAAAUGCGCAGAGAUAUGGAGGAACACCAGUGGCGAAGGCGACUUUCUGGUCUGUAACUGACGCUGAUGUGCGAAAGCGUGGGGAUCAAACAGGAUUAGAUACCCUGGUAGUCCACGCCGUAAACGAUGAGUGCUAAGUGUUAGGGGGUUUCCGCCCCUUAGUGCUGCAGCUAACGCAUUAAGCACUCCGCCUGGGGAGUACGACCGCAAGGUUGAAACUCAAAGGAAUUGACGGGGACCCGCACAAGCGGUGGAGCAUGUGGUUUAAUUCGAAGCAACGCGAAGAACCUUACCAAAUCUUGACAUCCUUUGACAACUCUAGAGAUAGAGCCUUCCCCUUCGGGGGACAAAGUGACAGGUGGUGCAUGGUUGUCGUCAGCUCGUGUCGUGAGAUGUUGGGUUAAGUCCCGCAACGAGCGCAACCCUUAAGCUUAGUUGCCAUCAUUAAGUUGGGCACUCUAAGUUGACUGCCGGUGACAAACCGGAGGAAGGUGGGGAUGACGUCAAAUCAUCAUGCCCCUUAUGAUUUGGGCUACACACGUGCUACAAUGGACAAUACAAAGGGCAGCGAAACCGCGAGGUCAAGCAAAUCCCAUAAAGUUGUUCUCAGUUCGGAUUGUAGUCUGCAACUCGACUACAUGAAGCUGGAAUCGCUAGUAAUCGUAGAUCAGCAUGCUACGGUGAAUACGUUCCCGGGUCU